This 486-nucleotide ribosomal RNA is filed under the name uncultured bacterium. RNAcentral's name for it is "bacterial SSU rRNA". It matches the Rfam family "Bacterial small subunit ribosomal RNA", at positions 28 to 524 of the family's 1533-position model. The record is from RNAcentral.
GACGAACGCUGGCGGCGUGCCUAACACAUGCAAGUCGAACGAGGUCCAUGCAGUGGCAACACUGCGGAAGACCUAGUGGCGAACGGGUGAGUAACACGUGAGGAACCUGCCCCGAAGACCGGGAUAACCCUCCGAAAGGAGAGCUAAUACCGGAUACCCCCACCGGAUCGCAUGAUCUGGUGAGGAAAUGGAUUCCGCUUCGGGAGGGCCUCGCGGCCUAUCAGCUAGUUGGUGGGGUAACGGCCCACCAAGGCAUCGACGGGUAGCUGGUCUGAGAGGACGAUCAGCCACACUGGGACUGAGACACGGCCCAGACUCCUACGGGAGGCAGCAGUGGGAAUCUUGCGCAAUGGGCGAAAGCCUGACGCAGCAACGCCGCGUGGGGGAUGAAGGCUCUCGGGUUGUAAACCCCUUUCAGCAGGGACGAAUCAAGACGGUACCUGCAGAAGAAGCCCCGGCUAACUACGUGCCAGCAGCCGCGGUAAU